Molecule: ribosomal RNA, 468 nt
Filed under: uncultured bacterium
Lineage: Bacteria
Description: partial 16S ribosomal RNA
Rfam family: Bacterial small subunit ribosomal RNA
Source: RNAcentral
GACGAACGCUGGCGGCGUGCUUAACACAUGCAAGUCGAACGGAAAGGCCCCGCUCUUGUGGGGUGCUCGAGUGGCGAAAGGGUGAGUAACACGUGAGUAACCUGCCCUUGACUUUGGGAUAACUUCAGGAAACUGGGGCUAAUACCGGAUAGGAGCUCCUGCUGCAUGGGGGGGGUUGGAAAGUUUGGGCGGUUGGGGAUGGACUCGCGGCUUAUCAGCUUGUUGGUGGGGUAGUGGCUUACCAAGGCUUUGACGGGUAGCCGGCCUGAGAGGGUGACCGGCCACAUUGGGACUGAGAUACGGCCCAGACUCCUACGGGAGGCAGCAGUGGGGAAUAUUGCACAAUGGGCGGAAGCCUGAUGCAGCAACGCCGCGUGCGGGAUGACGGCCUUCGGGUUGUAAACCGCUUUCGCCUGUGACGAAGCGUGAGUGACGGUAAUGGGUAAAGAAGCACCGGCUAACUACGUG